This 689-nucleotide long non-coding RNA is filed under the name Triticum aestivum (bread wheat). RNAcentral's name for it is "long non-coding RNA (TAES_LNC021634)". The record is from RNAcentral. Lineage: Eukaryota; Viridiplantae; Streptophyta; Magnoliopsida; Poales; Poaceae.
AAAAAACAUGUUGACAAAAGUAAACGAGGAUAUAAACAACCAAGCAUGAACAACAAACAAACUUGAUAAUUAGAGAUUUUCCUAAUAAGAAAUUGAAACAAAUCGUUGAGAUAUAUAUUCUUCUUCUUAUUAUUAGAACAACUACCGGCGGCUUCGAAAGAAUACAACAGAUUAAACUACAAGUCUUUGCUCCAAUGGUUGCCGGUUCAAAAGGAAGGAACUCAAUUUGAAGGCGACCGAAGGUUAAAGAGGCGCGCAUCGAUGUGGCCUUUGCACUCUGUAUUGCACUCGGCCAUUGUGGCAUAGCACAGAUCGAGCACUAGGCACCAGAAGCAACAAUUACCCGGUGCGCAAUCUUUAUGAUGGACGCAGAGUCCGCCCGGUAUAUUGAUCUUGUCGUCGUCCAUGCCCUCGAUGAUGCGGCCUGUUGAGCCACAAUACCAAACCACCGAUAGUUUCUAGUUGUGUUAGCAAACAAACUUGAUUCCAACAUGAGGCAUGAAAGAAGGAAAAGGUAUGAACAAGUUUAUAGGAAGCAAUAGCUUCAUCGCAUAUGUGCGACUUACAUUGCGCAUGAAGGGGAGAACACGCGAGAAACAGCAGAGAGAGCAGCAAGGCUGGUGCACAUGUGUGACUCUUGUGCUUGUCCAUGGAGAUCUCUGAUAUGAUGGAUGCUUGAUUGAUUCCUG